GCCAUGGCCGCUGAGCCUGCGCGUCCGGAGCCUGUGCUCCGCAACGGGAGAGGCCACAACAGUGAGAGGCCCGCGUACUGCAAAAAAAACCUUUUCCUUGCACGGUGCCUCUCUGGAAGCAACAUGUUUUGCAUAACCAAGUCAUACCAAGGCCCCCUAACUCCUAGUUCCUGCCCCUAAGCGCCGCCCUGCCGCCCCCACAAGAUAAUCAACACAGCUGAAGGAAUGAAAGUUCUGGGAGAACACAAUGAAUCAGAAGAGGGAAUCAAAUACAGAAAGCUUCUCACAGUCUCUGCUCUCUGAGAAGUCUCCAUUCCGGUCAUCCUUCAGAGUCUUCAGGAACUCGCUCUUCCUGUCAGUAGUUCGGCGGGUCAACUUGGUCAGACGAGAGGAGCUGAUCUCAAUUGGAGGAGUGGUGCUGGCGGGGCUCUGGGCAAAUACCACAAAUAGGUUGCUCUUGACAGCAAAGAGUAAGUACUGGGAUUCUCUAGGUCACUUCUACAAGGUACUGCUUUCCAGAAUCUGGUAGCCUAUUUAUCACUCUUUUACCAAAAAUAAACUAUCCUUUUCAUUUAAACAGA
Molecule: long non-coding RNA, 581 nt
Organism: Aethalodelphis obliquidens (Pacific white-sided dolphin)
Lineage: Eukaryota; Metazoa; Chordata; Mammalia; Artiodactyla; Delphinidae
Exons: 2
Source: RefSeq, a predicted model, not a curated record